CCCAAAUUCACCUCAAUGCACACCCUUGCCUCACUAGGUCGUCUCAAGUCAGUAGUGGCCUCAUCAAUUCUCAAGGGCAUUCCUAUUGUCCUAGAUAAGGCGAAAAGGAACCCUUUCGCACGUAAAUGUACUGGAAGCAGAGGGAAUGAUACCCAUAUGGGAACUAUCGGAGUCUCUUGCUCAGGUGUAAAGUCACAUGUCCACUUAAGGACUCUCAUUGGACAACCAUCAAUAUACCAUGAAGGUUUAAGAAAAAGUCUGCUGUAAUCCUCCUCAUGUGUAAGGUGUAUAAGAAUGUGUGUUGUGUCAAUCAGUCCCACCUCGAAACAACUAUGUAACCCAAGCUUAGAAAAAUUCUCACGUACCUUCUUCAUGGUUGGCUUGCGAUGUGAAAAUUUCCCCACAAGUGUAUACUUGUAAGGAUCAGCAAGUGUAGCCUCCUCGGACUCAGUCAAAAUCACUGCCGGCUCACCCAUAUGUAUAAAGGGUUCUUUAGCAGCAAACCCAGCAGUGGAAGAGUCAUCUAUACCCUGUAUAACCGAUGUAAACGACUUUCGUGAACUCCGCUCAGCUUGAGAUAGGCUUGGACGGCUAGAAACUGCAGUAGCAUAGGUCUUUCGUCCCUGAUUGAGCACUGUCUGGGCCUCAUGUGGAAAAACCGAUGAUAAAAAUGGAUUUAGAUUAACUGGAAGAAUAUUUUGGACAAAAGUUGUCGGAGGGUCACCGGAAUGCCGCCGGCCGGCCGCUAGCAGCUCCGUUUUCCGGCCAAAAUCAACCGGAGGCAGAAUUUUAUGAUUUUCAACAGUCUCGUGCAGAAUUUCAUGCUGAAUAACACGGUCAAGCACGUUUCCCAAGGUGAGAACCGUAGAGGCCGAAAAUCGCAAUUUUUCGACAAACUGCCCGUUUACGUUUGGUGCCGUAACAGGAGCGUCCGACCUCCAAUUGCCGUGAUUUUUUGACCGAAGGUUCGCCAUUUCAUGGGUAUUCUGAAUAUGUGGCGCGUGUCUCUGUUGGAGCUUCGUACGAGAAUUAAUUUCAAUAUCAGUUUCGGGCUGCACUUUUUCCAAAGUUUCAAUUUCGGUGAAAUUGGACGUCGAGGACACCACCCCAGGGGUUUUUGGGCCUUUUGAGUUCAUUGGUAGUGGUCCCAUAUCCAAAUUCUGAUCAGAAGUGGGUGUUUUGAUGACAUUGGGAUUCGUGCCAUGAUUUUUCAAACUUAGAUCUACUGACUUGGGGGUUGAAUCUGAUAUUGGUGUUAUAGGAGAUGUUUGGGUGGUUUUUGGUGAUUAUUUUCCACCACUUGGAGUGGUGCAAUCUAGUGGUUUCGGUGGCGGAUCAGAUUUGUUGGAGUUUUGGAGGUUUUCUCCCAUCUAGAGAGAAGGGAGAGCGUUUUGGAGGUAGAGAGAGAAAGUGUUUUGAGGUUUUGGCUUAGGGUUUUUUUUUUUUUUUUAAUAAAGACAUCCACACAUCCUUAACGACUUUUUAGGGUCCACCAAGGAAGGUCGAUGGGGGUUAAGGGUUCCCCAACCAUGUUUAUUUCAUAAAAAUCAAGAGUACAGGAAAGGAGGGGGGGCAUAAACCUGACCUCCAAAAAGCAACAUUGCAACAAAUGAAAAAUUAUAAAUGAACAAAGUAAAUGAGGAAGUACUACUCCCUUGUACAAGAAAAAUGAAAAAAUGAUUGCCUAAACUAUGAACCUCUAAAGCUGGGCAAUCCAUAUCUGUCGAUCUGUACCAGUGCCCUAAUUUGUUGGGGCAGGUCAAGUGGUCCAUAUUCUUGGUAAUGCUGGUGAUCCCAACCCUCUGAAGCAAGAGAAUCUGCAACCUGGUUACCUUCUCUGUAGAUAUGAGAAACUGUGUCUCUGUCAAGGCGAAUGACGUCUCUGAUCUGUCUUAGAAUACCCUGAAUCGUCCAUGGUCCUCCACCUUUGGUGAUGCAAUGAAUGGCCAGCAUUGAAUCUACCUCAAUCCAAAUAGUUGAUAUUCCAAGUCCUCUGGCCAAUAGAAGCCCAUCUAGUAUGGCUCUGAGCUCAGCCUCCAAAAUGAAACAUGGGCCAUACGAUGCUGAGAAUGCCCUGAUACAGUAUCCUGCGUGGUCCCUAAUGAUGCCUCCACCACUUGCAAAUCCAUCUUUGACGCAUCCAUCAGUAUUGAUCUUGUAGGAUCCAAUAGGUGGAGUGCGCCAAACAACCAUAAUAGGUGGUGGUGGGAGAGGACGGGUCAAAGAAAUUCCAAAAAAGGAUGCAAGUGUCACAUCUCCUCGCCAAUGCUCAACUCGGAAUAGUCCUCCCAUAUGAAGGAAGGAGAUCAUGCGGUAGACCCUCCAAAUAAUACGUCUGGCCACCAUACGAAUACCUCUAUGCUUCGCAUCAUUCCUCUCAGUCCAUAGAAACCAAAAUACCAAUAGAGGAAUGAUAAUACGAAUGUGUCCACGACAAACGUGCUGUCCAGAAUACCGCCAUCUCUGGAACCUCUGUCUGACCCCCUCUCCUGAAGUCAUAGGUAUCUGAAAGAUGUCUCCAAAGUGCUGCCAUACCUGGUCGGAGAUGCUGCUGCUCGUGAAAAUAUGAUUGAUGGUCUCAAUCUCGGAACAACACUGACAACGAGAAGCCAACUGACAUCCAAUUCUCCUCUGAAUAACAACAUCUACUGGUAUGAGAUCCUGCCAUAGUCUCCAGCAGAAGAAUGAAAUAGUGGCAGGCAAAAUAGAGCUCCACAGCAGUCGAUAUGAGUCCUGAGGCUGGCGACCCGAAUAGACUAGUUGCCAUGCUGAUUUGGUGGUAAAUUCACCAUCCGAAGUAAUUUUCCAAACAAUUCGGUCCGGGGCAUCUGCACAUAAAGGUAUCGCCCCUAUCUGUCCCGCCAUGUGAGAAGGAAGGGCCUGUAAUAACCGUCCGAAAUCCCACCCAGUGUCAUCAAAAAAAUCCUGUACCCUCGCAGAUGUGUGCUGUCUGUGGGGGAAUAGGGAUGCCAACGUGGUCUCGCCCAUCCAACAAUCAUGCCAGAAGAAAAUCUGACCGGCUCCAAGGUGCCAAGCAAUGUGUGGAUCCGUCCGUGGCCCAACUGAUUUCAGCCUCUUCCAAGUAGGGGAAGCUGAACUGGGAACAGCUGCAAGUGAAGGAUGCGUCCCCUUACAAUACUUGCCCAGUAAAAACUGAGCCCAAAGUGACCUCUGAGAUCGGAACAACCACCAGAGCUUCAUGGAGAAUGUGUCCACCACAUCCUGUAAUCUCCUAAAGCCGAGGCCUCCCUCAUCAGUAGGAAGGCAAAUCUUCUUCCAACUUCUCCAAUGUAGACGUCGUGCUUGAUCCUUAGAAUCCCAUAGGAAUUGGGCAAAGAUGCUCUCAAGUUUCUUCAGCACUGUCUUGGGCGGCUGCAUAAUCUGAAGAAGAUGUAAAGGUAUGGAAGAAAGUACUGACCUCAGUAAUGUAAUACGACCCCCAGGCGAUAGUAAUCGUGAGGCCCAGCCUGAUAUCCUAUCCCUUAUCUUUUGGAUAAGGUCAUCAUAAAGGAAGCUCCUCUUAGUCCCCUUGAAUAAGGGGACACCCAAAUAAGUGAAAGGCUGCUGCUGAUGUCUGAAGCCCGUCAAAAUCUCUAGUCGUCUGAUCUGACUAGUGGAUGCUCGUCUGGAUAGUAUAAUACAGCUCUUGUCUCUAUUCACCAAUUGGCCAGAAACUCCUUCAUAAUGCUCCAAACAAUCUAAGACCCUCCUGAUGGACUGUUUCUGACCGUUGGCAAAGAUGAUCAUAUCGUCAGCAAAUGAGAGAUGUGAGACAAGAGAACUACCUCCAUGUCGAUAACACAUACUGGGAUACUCUUGAAACCUUUGAGUGAGCAAACGUGAGAAGUAGUCCGCUGCAAUGAUGAACAAGGAUGGGGAGAUAGGAUCACCCUGUCUGAGUCCUCGUGAGGAGGGAAAAAAGCCACAUGGGCGGCCAUUUAGGAGUACGGAGAAACGACACUCCGAAAUGCACCGCCUGAUUCUGUCAAUCCAGAUCUGAUCAAAUCCAAAUGCCUCCAAUAUAGAAUAAAUGAAGCCCCAGUCCAUGCGAUCAUAUGCUUAGGUUUUGGCUUAGGGUUUAGGGUUUAGGGUUUUCGACCCAUCUGGUUUUUUUUUUCUUUUUUUUUUUAAAGCAAAUGCCACUAGUGUGGUUUAUUUUAUAUAAUGAAAAGCGAGAAAACAAAGAGAGGAGGGGGGCAUGGACCUGACCUCCAGCAAAUGUAAAUUGUAACAAAUAUCUGAAGAUAAAAUGCAAUCACAGUAAACAAGACACAAACAAAAACUAAUGAAAGGUACUCAUGGGUAUUCCCGAGGGUAAAUCUUCGGGUGGUAGUACAUAGACAUUGAUCGGGUCAUGCGUCUGGUUUGAAACAUUUCUGGAUCAUAGUGGUAUGCGAUGUCUGGCUCGCUCGUUGGAGAGGGGUCUCGCCUGCGUGUAGGAGCCUGCUUUGGUGAUAAGUACUGUUCGGAUGGUGGUGCACUGAAUGUCGGGCAAAAAGUGGGUGCAUCUGAUCUCAUUGUACUAGUCGUAGGUGUGUCUAAUCUCAUGGUGUUCUGUCCUACGACAUCUGAAUCGUGGGAGAUUGACCUGCUUGUUAUAGGGACAUCGUCUUCCGCAUUUUUCAUGCAGUUUCCAAGGCCCAUGCCAUCCAUGUCUCUCUGUAUAUGUUCUUUCACCUUAUUGUGUGUAGGAGCUGUGAUAGAAGGACUAGGUGAAGGUGUCUGCGUAGGAGUCUUACUCACAGAAGGUCCCUCUCCAAAGAGCUUAAAAACCAAGUCCUCAAUAGCAAAUCUCAUGGUAGAUCCAACUUUCAUUCCAUGGUCCUUCUUAAAGUGAUCAAUCAACAUAUGCUUGACACCAUGUUGCUCUGAGCUGAUCUCAGCCAACAAUCCCUGUGCAAGAGUGGUUUGAGGAACUGUCCCGGUACCUGAUACCUGCACUGACUGAGUACUAUCUGUGUGUGUCUUUAAUGGUGGAGAACUCAUAUGUGUCAGCUCAGGGGGUACAUCAGUAGUAGCUGUGGGAAUAGGAGCUAUGGAAGUAAUAAUAGGAGAAGUGGGUGCCUCGAUAGGAGCAUUUGGAGUAGGCUCAGCAACUGAAUGAAUAUACGGAGGUACCUCUGGAUCAACUGUGAUACGAGUAGAGGUAGGAACUGUCGAUGCAGAUUCUGACUCUGUCACAACUGCGGUAGUAGUAGUGGGAAGCACAGAAGGCACUGCUGAAACUGGAACCCACUGCUUCUUUGGCUCCACAAACAUCACCUUGCCCUUAUCCUUAUCAGUCCUAGUAAUAGGGGGCCGAACAGGGGGGGUGCGCAACAACUGUAGGAGGAGGAGGAGGAACCGUAGUACACUGAUCAUAAGAAUGACCCAAGUGUUUACAAGAGAAGCAAAAAAUUGGCUGCUUCUCAUAGAUAACUGUCUGCCAGAAGCCACGGUUACCAGGGCGCUCAAUCCAAACCCUAUCGGGCAACUUAUGCCCCAAAUUCACCUCAAUGCACACCCUUGCCUCACUAGGUCGUCUCAAGUCGGUGGUGGCCUCAUCAAUUCUCAAGGGUAUUCCUAUUGCCCCAGAUAAGGCGAAAAGGAACCCCUUCGCACGUAAAUGUACUGGAAGCAGAGGGAACGAUACCCAUACGAGAACUAUCGGAGUCUCUUGCUCAGGUGUAAAGUCACAUGUCCACUUAAGGACUCUCAUCGGACAACCAUCAAUAUACCAUGAAGGUUUAAGAAAAAGCCUGCUGUAAUCCUCCUCAUGUGUAAGGUGUAUAA
This 5772-nucleotide long non-coding RNA is filed under the name Olea europaea subsp. europaea. Lineage: Eukaryota; Viridiplantae; Streptophyta; Magnoliopsida; Lamiales; Oleaceae. The record is from RNAcentral.